Danio aesculapii is the source of this 394-nucleotide long non-coding RNA. RefSeq lists it as uncharacterized. The transcript is spliced from 3 exons. The record is from RefSeq and is a predicted model, not a curated record. NCBI's taxonomy places the organism in Eukaryota, Metazoa, Chordata, Actinopteri, Cypriniformes, Danionidae.
UGUAUUAACUUAAAUCAUUAAAAUUCGUUAAUCUUAAUUAACCUAGAUGAGUAUUUAGAACUUUUUCUUAUUUUUGAGUUUGUAAAAAUUAAAUCUUUCAAGUAAGGUGAACGAUUUUGCUGUGUUUAAUUUAUACAAAAUGUCUCUUUAAAGUUUCAUUAACUCAAAAUCUUUCAGCCCAGUGAUUUUGCGUGUGACGUCAUCCAGGUUCACGUACGUUCUCGUGCUUCAUUCGUUUUUUCAAGAUGGCGGAUCGGCCUCGCUUCACACUACAAAUUGAAGGUCGGUUGUUGCUGACUACAGAAAGAUUCUUAUAUGGAGGCAUGUAAAAGCAAGGAAAGUGAAACUUCAGCUAGACCUUGAGUUCAGUUUACAAUACGAAGAUCCUGAUAUC